This is a long non-coding RNA of Halichondria panicea, 1560 nucleotides long. RefSeq lists it as uncharacterized. The transcript has 7 exons. Lineage: Eukaryota; Metazoa; Porifera; Demospongiae; Suberitida; Halichondriidae. The record is from RefSeq and is a predicted model, not a curated record.
GCGUCUAUCACAACCAAAAAUCCACGUAUAAUUAUGAUUAGCAUCUGUGAGAGGUGCACUUAUUAUACUGAUGUGUGCACAGUACAGAACCGUAUGAAAUCUAUUUUGUAAUACAAGUGGAUCAGAUGUGUGUUAAAGAUGUGUGUGCAAUAUGUACUUCACUCGUGAUUACCAAUGUGAUGUUCUGCUAUGUAUCACAAGUGAGGAAGGAGCUGCUCUGCUACACAUCUGUGCAUGUGAGCAAAUGAGAGCUUGUGAUUUAAAUUGUUUAUUACUGUAGCUAUUAAGAAGCAGGCAUUAACGCUUGUUGACAGUGUGGAAAGGUGCAGACUCACAUGAAGGUAGAACAACUGGCCAGACAGCUAGAUGCCAGACAGCUAUAGACGUCAGUCAUCUAUAGAGUGGAAACGCGUGAGUCUAUAACUAUGUAUGCACUGAUGACCAAAAUUAUAAUUAUAUAUUUCUAGGCUUGAAAGUCAUCAUUAUUUGACAACAUUCAGACGAGGGGUUAAUUGAUGAUCCACUACUUCCCUGUUACUUUGUGAUUAUACAUUUAUUUCAAUUAUUAGAUGGCUGCUUUUAUUGUGACCCCUUAUGUGACUAACUAUGAAUGGCUCGCACUUUCAAAAGUGUUCAGAGUUGCAUAGUGUGUUUCAUUUUGGAAAGCAGACAAGUAUGUAAGGGGUUCUUAGACCUGGUAAGGAAUGCAACCCACACAUUAAAAAAAAUGGAAGUGCACCCGCUGCUCAACCUUGUGGAAGACCUUGCUGUCUCUUCGGUCCCACUGCUGCUUUCAAUUAACACUGAAAGGUGUGAAGCCUUUAAUUUAUAUUGAUGAGGGAGAAGAAAGUUUUUCAAAUAGACGAGCCCUAAGUGGUGAUAUUACUGCUUCGUUUUCAACAUUAGAAGCAUUGAGAUUUGUCUAUUCAAGUGGCUAUUACCAGAGUGAGAUUUUCAACAGUGUGUUGCUGGGUUGACUAAUCUCUACAACCAGCAUGGAAUGGCCUGGUGUCUCAUCACACAUCUUGGCAAGGCUAUAUCAGUCUGGAGCAGCACUGAGAAAGGCUCAACCAACAAGUUGAGAGAUAUUGCCAGAUAUUGCCUUAAUUGUCUUUCAAUGGCACCAAUCAGAAUGGUGUGAAGUCCAAGAGAAUACGAUAUACAUUCAUCAUAGUCUUGGAUGUUUUCAAUCGGCGAAUUACUUCUUGCUUGAAUGUUGUGUAUGCAGGACUCCUGUUGUUCAUUCUAAUUGCUUAAUUGACGGUAUAUAGUGGUCUGUGCCAUAAUGGAAGAAGAAUCUUCCCCCUUCCCCCUCACCAAAAUGAGAGGCUUUUGACCCUUCGGACUGAACACGUAAACACAUGUUCCUGACAUGUACAUAUGUUACACUGGACAAUUCGACCUGGGAGCUCGAGUUGGGUUUCACCAUAUACAAUGAGCAAGACUGUCCGUUGUUAACUUAACAUUACUACGCAGCCUUUUACAAUCAAACAAGAACGAGAGCAACUUAGCAUUAUCAUAGUAAUUUUUAUAAGUUGUCCUCUAGCUAUUUUAACCAUC